RNAcentral lists this long non-coding RNA (2870 nucleotides) under Sus scrofa (pig). Its description in RNAcentral is "lncRNA (ENSSSCG00065034353.1)". Lineage: Eukaryota; Metazoa; Chordata; Mammalia; Artiodactyla; Suidae. The record is from RNAcentral.
GCAGGCUUAGGGAUAGGGUCAGAUUUCCUCAGUAAAGUCUGGAACAUUGACCUCAGAGGAAUCAGAAGGUCCCUUCCCUAUGCCAAGGAAGCGUAGCCCUUGCAAUAGUGUGAAGACUCUGAAACCUUACAGUUAAAAAAUUGCUGUGCGUGGUUGACUUCAAGUUUCGUUCGUUAGUACCUCCCCCCCUCUCCCCCCAGGUGCACACUAGUCCCAAAGAUCUGUGGAAUAAUAAGCACAAAAUCUCCUUGCCAUUUGAUUCCAUCUGUCAUUAGCCCACAAAGUUCCUGCUGGCCCCAUUUGCUGAUUUUGUAUAUGAAUGUUGAGGGAAAAACUCAGUGUACCAGGAACUUCAGUUUUGACAAAAUAAAAUGUUUAUCACUUCCCGGGUUGACUUUUCCCCCUGCUCUGUAGUUUGUUGAAUUAUUUGUGCCUUAGAUUGUCUCAUUUUAUUUUUGUCUUGUUUUCCUAGGAGACCUUGAGGCAGGGGUAAAUGAAAGAGAUAAGUUACCCUGACCUUGAUUUUUAUGGCACUGUGGUAACCGAAGGUGUAUUUACCCUCUCAUGGAGCCAUAAAAAAACACACUUCUCUUUUUAAGCAUUUGCAGCGACAGUUAAGAUGAGAAAUAACUAUGCAGCUGGGUUCAUAAAGGUCUCAGGUUAAAAUUCGGAUAUGAUAAUAAAUCACAACUUCUUUUUAUCUGUCACCACUGAUUUUAAGUUUGGUUUUCUAAGUAUCAAAUUCUCCCUUCUGACAGAAAGGGCAUCGUGAAAAUGGGUAUAUCAGAGAGAAAAAUGUAGGUGUUUUGGAUGCGAUAAAGAUGUAAUGUGUACAUGUGUCUCUGGGGACAAGGUCAGCAGAGGGGCUUGUUCAUCUCACCUGGGUCCAGGUGGAGAUGUACAGCGUUUCUGAAGCAGAGACCAAUCCAACUGAGAUGAUCCACUUUGCCUUCAGUUUAGUGGGUUAGUCUCCAGCUCUCCUGCUCAUCCCCAAAGCCUCUGCCACUCAGAAGGUGAACGAGUCGAUUCCAAAGCAUGCAUGGGAGGAGGAUGAAAAGAGGAAGAGAAGAGGGUGACAGCUGAUCCUCAGCAGCAGGUGGAAGGGAAAUUCUCUUUAGCAGGCUCAGGUUCCCAGGCUAAGGGUUGAAUUGGAGCUGCAGCCACUGGCCUAUACCACAGCCAUAGCAACUUGGGAUCCAAGCCGCUUGUGACCUACAGCACGGUUCAUGGCAACGCCGGAUCCUUAACCCGUUGAGUGAGGCCAGGGAUCAGACCCAUGUCUUCAUGGAUGCCAGUAGAUUUUGUUAACUGCUGAGCCACGACAGGAACUCCUGUUUAUGUGCUUUUUAAAACUCCCCUCUUCAGAGAUAAGCCAGAAGUCUGUGGUUGUGGUAGGCAUGGCACAGACUUUUCUAGUCCCUCUUUUGCUUAAUGGUAAGUGGUGUUGCCCUCACACACCCCUCAAUUGUAUUCUUUCGGGCCAGCCGUCCCCUUUCUUGGGAAGGGUGCGGUCCUAGACCUUAUGAACUUGAAAGGAAGUUGGGAUAUGCUAAUGCAUUUCUCUCUGAUCCGAAAAGGGGAAACUGAGGCCAGGACAAAGAAAGGACUUGUAGAGAGAUGGCGUCACACUCUACUUAGCAUGGGAACUGGGACUGCAGUGCAGGAGCCUGGCUCCUGGGUUCCUCUUUUUCAGUUUGUAAUAGACCUUCCUUUUCAGUGAGGCCAGCUCUCUACAGUGAAGCAAACCUGGGAAAAGGUACAGUCAGUUAAUUUACAAAGCUGUAUGGUCUGAUUUUAAAUGACGGGGCGGGGGGCGGAGAAGGGAGGUGGGACAGGAGGAAGCAUAAACUGAGGAAAAAAGGACGAUAACACACCUGUACAAGGACUUGGGUGACCGGGAGGAGCCACUGGGCAGGGGGUGUGACCGGGAGGGGCCACUGGGCAGGGGGUGCGGGCCAGACCCUGCAGAGGGGGGCCCCAUGGGCAGAAGGGAGCUCCCUCAGCAUGUGCUGUGUGGUGGCGCUGUGCUGGACUCGGAGUGAGUAUUGGUGAGCAAAACAGACAGAGUUAGCACCUCGUGGAAAAUGCAGUCCGUUGUGGAGACACAUCGUCCACAGAUACACAUGCACAUAGGGAGCCGAGAUUGUGGUGGGCACAGGGUGUUGUGAGGUCCAACUGACUCAUUUUUACUGGGAGCCGUCCAGGAGGAAGGUGAAUGAGGUUCUUGUUUAACCCAGGUCUUUCUGACAAGUGGGGGAACCCCCGCAGAGUCUCAGCAGGAGAGAGAUAUGAACAGAUGUGUGUUGUCCUGGUUGUUAUGACUUCCUGGGUGCUAGGGAGGCCAAGGGGAGGAGCCCAGAGCAAGCCUGGAGGACCUUGAGGUAGCCCAGUGUAAACCUCACCUCCUUCCUCCCCCUAGUUUUUGCCUCAGGCCACUGAGUGACCGUCCUACUCUGACACAGCAUGCUUGUCUGCCUGUCUAUCAUCCCCCAGAAAAUAUAAGCUCUCAGAGGCUAGGGACUUGAUUUUGUUCACUGCUCUGUCCAUGGCACCCAGAACAAUGCUAAAUAACUGAUUUGGGUGGAUGAAUCAGGAUAGUAUCAUGAAGAAAGUGGUAUUUCAGCAGAUUACUCUGGCUACAGAACUCGUGCUGUGGAUAGCCCACGUGCAUGAUGCAAAAUCCUAAAACCUACAGAUGAGAAUCUCCUCGAGAAUUACAGCUCGUGAAUUCCUUCCAAGAGAACAGAUUGUAAGAGCACUGGAAAGGGCCUGGAAUUUACAUAUUUCCCAUUGCAUUUGAUUAAUUUGUAAUUCGUCAGAUGUUGAUGUGUUCUGUAUAAUCAUUAAAAAAAAAAAACAAAAACAAAAAA